This 492-nucleotide ribosomal RNA is filed under the name uncultured bacterium. RNAcentral describes it as "partial 16S ribosomal RNA". It matches the Rfam family "Bacterial small subunit ribosomal RNA", at positions 29 to 507 of the family's 1533-position model. The record is from RNAcentral.
AGUGAACGCUGGCGGUAGGCCUAACACAUGCAAGUCGAACGGCAGCACAGUAAGAGCUUGCUCGUACGGGUGGCGAGUGGCGGACGGGUGAGGAAUACAUCGGAAUCUACUUUUUCGUGGGGGAUAACGUAGGGAGACUUACGCUAAUACCGCAUACGAGCUACGGGUGAAAGCAGGGGAUCUUCGGACCUUGCGCGAUUGAAUGAGCAGAUGUCGGAUUAGCUAGUUGGCGGGGUAAAGGCCCACCAAGGCGACGAUCCGUAGCUGGUCUGAGAGGAUGAUCAGCCACACUGGAACUGAGACACGGCCCAGACUCCUGCGGGAGGCAGCAGUGGGGAAUAUUGGACAAUGGGGGCAAGCCUGAUCCAGCCAUACCGCGUGGGUGAAGAAGGCCUUCGGGUUGUAAAGCCCUUUUGUUGGGAAAGAAAAGCAGCAGGUUAAUACAUCGCUGUUCUGACGGUACUCAAAGAAGAAGCACCGGCUAACUUCGUG